This 97-nucleotide transfer RNA is filed under the name Dactylosporangium vinaceum subsp. matsuzakiense. RNAcentral describes it as "Dactylosporangium matsuzakiense tRNA-Arg". Lineage: Bacteria; Bacillati; Actinomycetota; Actinomycetes; Micromonosporales; Micromonosporaceae. The record is from RNAcentral.
GCGGUCGUAGCGCAGCGCGGCGACGUCGACGGCCUUCUCGGCGGUGGCCAGGUCGACGGCGGGCAUCCCCUGCGCGAUCGCCGCGCCCGCGGCCGCU